CCUGUGUUUAAUGGUGGUGAUGGCAAAUGGAUUGCUGACUCUGAUGUGAUCACUCAAGUCAUUGAGGAGAAGUUCCCAACUCCAUCUCUGGUCACCCCUCCAGAAUAUGCAUCAGUGUAAGUUGUCUUGCUAAUAUCCCGUCUUUAAGGCAAAUUCUGCAUUAAGCUUUUCACAUCUCCAUCUUCCUAUGGAAGUAUUUAUGACAUGUUUUAACACGGGAGAUUUUAACUGUUGCUUAUGACAUUUUAAUGUAAAAUUCCCUUGUUCCAAAUGGGGCCUAAGUUUUACUGUUGCUAAGCUCUGAAGACCCUUAUUCUGUGUUUAGUCCUGUAAGGGGUUUUUAUUAAAAAGGUUGAGGAUUUGAUAAAAUCUGCAUUCAUUUCAGAGGGGUCUUUUGUUUAAAUAGUUGGCAGUUCACAAUGCAUGCGCCUGAUCACGAUUCUAGUAGCAUGUUGAUUUAGGAACUUCUUGUAAUUUUCAUGGUCAUUGGAGCCUAACAUCCUACUAAAGAAAAGAAAGUAAUGUAUUUGUCAAGGAUAUUGAGACCCUGUUUGGAUCCACCAGCUAAACUUUAGCUGGCUAAAUUUAGCUGCUAUGGAUCCAAAUAGGACCCGGCUAAAUUUUAGCUGGCUAAAGAUUCCCGUAGCUAGUUGAACCCAGCUAAAGUGAUAAAAGACCAAACUGCCCCUCCACCUUCCUCGGGAAAAGUAUUUAAAGUGGGAGUGAGGGAUAGGAUAGAUAAAUACCUUUUCAACUACCAUUUAGCUAGAGGAUCCAAACACCCCCUAGCUAAAGUUUAGCUAGAUAAACUUUAGCUAGCUAAAAGAAAGCUCCUAAACUUUAGCUAGCUAAACGUUAGUUGGGUGGAUCCAAACAGGGCCUGAAUACUGUCCUGAGCUUAUGUGAGAGUAGCUGUGGUAGGAUCUAUCAUGCUCUGAUUUGAUAGCUUUUGAAAUACUAACAACUUGCAAGGUUACUAUCUCCUUAUCCUAGUUUCUUCUGAAGCAUUGUUUUGGGUUCUUGUGUUGCUAUACAUUUUCAGUUGAGCUUUGGCAGUUGUCUUAAUAUUGUGUAUUUAUGGUUCUGGUGACAGAGGAUCAAAGAUUUUCCCAUCUUUUGUCAAGUUCCUGAAGAGCAAGGAUGCCAGUGAUGGUUCAGAGAAGGCACUUCUUGAUGAGCUACAGGCACUAGAUGAGCAUCUGAAAGCUCAUGUAAGUUGCAGAGUUGAACUCUUUAAGUGAUUGAUAUGGCUGUACAUCAAGGGAGUAGACAUAACACAUGCCUUCCAUGGUCAUUUCAGUCGUACCCACAUCCCACUUUUCUCCGCACUUAACCUGUUGGGAUAUGACACAUUGCAAUCAUUUUGGUUUGAUCAAAUGCCUUGUUGUGUCGGCCUUGAUUAGUCUGACCAUCUAAUUUGAUUGAACCGUACCUUUCCUGACGCCACUAUCAACAUUCUGAUGUUUGCAGGGUCCCUACAUCAACGGGGAGAAUGUAUCAGCUGCUGAUCUUAGUCUGGGGCCAAAGCUCUUCCACCUCCAGGUCGCACUGGAGCAUUUCAAGGGCUGGAAGAUCCCGGAGAACCUGACCAGCGUUCAUGCCUACACCCAGGUACGCAAGUGCUCAAUUGAUUGCACUUCACUAUCAGUUCGAUAAAACCUGUCCAGAAUCCAAUAAUCGAGAUCGCGUUUGUCUUUGUGCAGGCUCUUUUCAGCCGCGAAUCUUUUGUGAAGACUAAGCCAACCAAGGAGCACCUGAUUGCAGGAUGGGCACCCAAGGUGAACGCGUAAGCGCCCAUCCCCCCUUGUGCUUUGGUGCUACCUGGUGGACACCAUCUGUUUAUCUGAUCAGUCUC
Molecule: long non-coding RNA, 1855 nt
Filed under: Setaria viridis
Lineage: Eukaryota; Viridiplantae; Streptophyta; Magnoliopsida; Poales; Poaceae
Description: long non-coding RNA (SVIR_LNC002567)
Source: RNAcentral